Molecule: ribosomal RNA, 392 nt
Filed under: uncultured bacterium
Lineage: Bacteria
Description: partial 16S ribosomal RNA
Rfam family: Bacterial small subunit ribosomal RNA
Source: RNAcentral
AUACGGAGGAUCCGAGCGUUAUCCGGAUUUAUUGGGUUUAAAGGGUGCGCAGGCGGCCAUUUAAGUCAGCGGUUAAAUCGUGGGGCUCAACCCCAUUCUGCCGUUGAUACUGGGUGGCUUGAUUGCGGUCGAGGUUGGCGGAAUUCGUUGUGUAGCGGUGAAAUGCAUAGAUAUGACGAAGAACACCGAUUGCGUAGGCAGCUGACCAGACCGCAAAUGACGCUCAUGCUCGAAAGUGCUGGGGUCGAACAGGAUUAGAUACCCUGGUAGUCCGCACAGUAAACGAUGAAUACUUGUUUUCGGCGAUAUAAUGUCGGAGGCAAAGCGAAAGCGAUAAGUAUUCAAGCUGGGGAGUACGCCGGCAACGGUGAAACUCAAAUGAAUUGACGGGG